ACUCUCGGGCCAGACCAUCGGCUAACACACCGAUCGGGCCCCGACCAAGAAAAGGCGAAAUGCCUACGCGACCGACGUCGCGACUCCCGACCGAGCCACGGCCGGUCGAAGGAUAUUCGGCUUGCCACCGUCUAUCACACGACGCGACCUUAGUCGCAUCUACGACUUACCGACCGAGCCACAGUCGGCCGGAGGAUAUGCGGCUUACCACCGUAUAUCACGAGGCGCGGAGGUGUACCCGACAUAAGGGUAUCGGGGCCCGACUUAUCG
Molecule: long non-coding RNA, 270 nt
Filed under: Elaeis guineensis (African oil palm)
Lineage: Eukaryota; Viridiplantae; Streptophyta; Magnoliopsida; Arecales; Arecaceae
Description: long non-coding RNA (EGUI_LNC005906)
Source: RNAcentral